ACAUGACGCGCCGGAGUUCACGAGUCCUCCAGGUGCUGCCAGCCUCUCCGCAGUCAUGUCCGCCGGGGGCUGCUGUGCCGAGGUCUACAGCUCUGUGUUUGACUACAACACCCCGCGUAUAGCGCUUAUCAAGAGCCGCAAGGUCGGACUGCUGAACAGAGUCAUCCAGCUGGCUAUCCUCGCCUAUGUCAUUGGAUGGGUUUUUGUCUGGGAGAAAGGAUACCAGGACUUUGACACUGUAGUUAGCUCUGUAACAUUGAAAGUGAAAGGAGUUGCAGCGACAGACACGGAGGAUCUUGGAUUCAGGAUCUGGGACGUGGCUGAUUACAUUAUACCUGCUCAGGAAGAGAAUGCCUUUUUCGUGAUGACAAAUCUAAUUCUAACGCCAAAUCAAACACAAGGCAAGUGUGCAGAGCUACCGGACAGUUCUACAAUAUGCAUUUCCAAUCUUAACUGUACCCCGGGUUACGUAGGAACACACAGCAAUGGAGUACAGACUGGACGCUGUGUGCGUUACAAUGAAUCAGUAAAAACAUGUGAAGUAAAGGCAUGGUGUCCAGUAGAAAAUGACACGGCUGUUCCCAUGCCUGCUUUUCUGGGGGCUGCUGAAAAUUUCACUGUGCUUAUAAAGAAUAACAUCUGGUACCCCAAAUUCAAUUUCACCAAGAGAAACAUCUUAUCUAAUAUCAGUGCAGAAUAUUUGAAAACCUGUGUGUAUGAUCCGGUGAAACAUCCAUUCUGUCCUAUAUUCCGUCUGGGCAGCAUAGUGGAGGAGGCUGGAGAAUCUUUCCAAGAUAUGGCUGUAUUGGGUGGAGUUAUGGGAAUUCAGAUUAGCUGGAACUGUGACUUGGACAAGAAGCAUACAUACUGCGUUCCAAAGUACUCAUUUCGACGUUUGGACAAUAGGGAAUUGGAUCACAAUGUUUCUCCCGGAUAUAAUUUCAGGUCUGCCAAAUAUUACAAGGAUUCCAACAAUGUGGAAUCAAGGACUCUAAUGAAAAUCUAUGGCAUUCGCUUUGAUAUCCUGAUUUUCGGAACUGCAGGGAAGUUUGACAUAAUUCCAACUAUGAUUAACAUUGGAUCUGGUGUUGCAUUGCUUGGAGUGGCCACGGUGCUAUGUGACAUCAUUGUAUUUCAUUUCUUUAAGAAAAGGUAUUAUUACAGAGAAAAGAAAUAUAAACAUGUGGAAGAUUAUGAGGAAUUGGGUAAUAAUGGAUCACAUGGAUCAAUCCCUUAACCUAAGGAAUAAUAAAAUAUAUUUAGUCAUUCAGAAAUAAAACAGAGAGAUGUCUUGUUCCAGUACUCAUACAUACAUGGAUUGGAUCACUGACUUUGGAAAUCUUCAACAAAACAUUCCAUAUCGACUGUCAUCUUGAUUCCUUAUAGGGAAAGGAAGGUGAUGCUGCUAUCAUGUUGUGUACACAAGAGCCUAUGAAUGUAAUUCAUGUAAAAAAGGGAUAUUUGUCUUAUGAAUGCCUUCUUUUUGGACUUUAAGUCCAUUGCACAUCUAAUUUUUAUGUAGGUCUGAAAGUUCAAGGGCUAUUGAAUAUAAGAGUAGUAACUAUGCAAACCAUUUUGAGACCUGCUAAUAAUGGAUUUUAAAGCCAAACUGGUCACAUCAUUUUGCGCAUUCUGCUGCUUACAUGUUUUUUGGUCUUAAUCCCACCCCCCCACCCCUUUUGAAAACUUUUGUAGAUCCUAUGGAAAUGUCACAUAAUUAUAUUAAAGGAACACUAUUUAUAAAAAGUAAAUCUUAAAUGUAUAAUUAUGUUGAAAGAAGCUGCUAUAAAGGUCUUGUUUGUUUUUUGAAUGCAGUUCCAAUGUUCACUGGAUAUCUAUGUAAACUGUUUUCAUUAUAGCGGUAUAAUAGAAGCAGUUUUACAAACAUCUUUAAGAAUUGCUGAUAUAAAGGUUCUCCAUUGAUUUAUAUGCAUUACAGUGUGGUCCUUGGAAUUGCCUCUGUGAAACAUUUGUAUUAAGAGUAUUUCCACAUUUAUUGUCUGUUUCUGUUAAGUCCCAUGAUGUAUAGAAAAACGAGUCAGUCCUAAAGAGAGCAGCUGCCUGUGGACCAGUUUCCCGUCCUAGCGAUUAGUGAUUGUCCCUGCAUUUGGACACCCGUCAAUCUAACAUUUAUCACCUGUACAGUGGAUUCAUGAUAAACGUAUGUGGCUGGAAUACCCCCGUGGUCUUUCUGAAUUAUUAAUUUCUCUUUAUGAUCAUAUAUAGACACCAUUUUCAAUGUUAAUGCUCAUGAGGGUACAAAGACUGUACAA
RNA transcript from Bufo bufo (common toad), 2273 nucleotides. It is a transcript of the gene named purinergic receptor P2X 4, with no coding region annotated. The transcript has 13 exons. NCBI's taxonomy places the organism in Eukaryota, Metazoa, Chordata, Amphibia, Anura, Bufonidae. The record is from RefSeq and is a predicted model, not a curated record.